UACACAGGACGGCUCUGUCUUGCUCAGCACC
This 31-nucleotide non-coding RNA is filed under the name Mus musculus (house mouse). Lineage: Eukaryota; Metazoa; Chordata; Mammalia; Rodentia; Muridae. The record is from RNAcentral.